UACGUACCGUCCAAACGUUAUUCGGAAUUACUGGGCUUAAAGGGUUUGUAGGCGGCGCUGUUAGUCGGGUGUGAAUCCCAGGGCUCAACCCUGGAACUGCGCCCGAUACUGCAGUGCUUGAGGGAGACAGAGGUAAGCGGAACUGAUGGUGGAGCGGUGAAAUGCGUUGAUAUCAUCAGGAACACCGGUGGCGAAAGCGGCUUACUGGGUCUCUUCUGACGCUGAGAAACGAAAGCUAGGGGAGCGAAGGGG
Molecule: ribosomal RNA, 252 nt
Filed under: uncultured bacterium
Lineage: Bacteria
Description: partial 16S ribosomal RNA
Rfam family: Bacterial small subunit ribosomal RNA
Source: RNAcentral